UUUGGAGUGAGAGGAUCUGGUAAGUGGCGAAACUGAAAUUCGAACCCAGGCCCUCUAACUGCAAAUUCAGC
This is a microRNA precursor of Monodelphis domestica (gray short-tailed opossum), 71 nucleotides long. NCBI's taxonomy places the organism in Eukaryota, Metazoa, Chordata, Mammalia, Didelphimorphia, Didelphidae. The record is from Ensembl.